RNAcentral lists this ribosomal RNA (1111 nucleotides) under Paenibacillus chitinolyticus. Its description in RNAcentral is "bacterial SSU rRNA". It matches the Rfam family "Bacterial small subunit ribosomal RNA", at positions 35 to 1158 of the family's 1533-position model. The record is from RNAcentral. Lineage: Bacteria; Bacillati; Bacillota; Bacilli; Caryophanales; Paenibacillaceae.
GGGGGUGGCGCGUGCUAAUACAUGCAAGUCGAGCGGACUUGAUGAGAAGCUUGCUUCUCUGACGGUUAGCGGCGGACGGGUGAGUAACACGUAGGCAACCUGCCUGUAAGAUCGGGAUAACUACCGGAAACGGUAGCUAAGACCGGAUAAUCGGUUUCUCCGCAUGGAGGGAUCGUGAAACACGGAGCAAUCUGUGGCUUACGGAUGGGCCUGCGGCGCAUUAGCUAGUUGGUGAGGUAACGGCUCACCAAGGCGACGAUGCGUAGCCGACCUGAGAGGGUGAACGGCCACACUGGGACUGAGACACGGCCCAGACUCCUACGGGAGGCAGCAGUAGGGAAUCUUCCGCAAUGGACGCAAGUCUGACGGAGCAACGCCGCGUGAGUGAUGAAGGUUUUCGGAUCGUAAAGCUCUGUUGCCAGGGAAGAACGCCAAGGAGAGUAACUGCUCUUUGGGUGACGGUACCUGAGAAGAAAGCCCCGGCUAACUACGUGCCAGCAGCCGCGGUAAUACGUAGGGGGCAAGCGUUGUCCGGAAUUAUUGGGCGUAAAGCGCGCGCAGGCGGUUUUUUAAGUCUGGUGUUUAAUCCCGAGGCUCAACCUCGGUUCGCACCGGAAACUGGGAGACUGGAGUGCAGGAGAGGAAAGUGGAAUUCCACGUGUAGCGGUGAAAUGCGUAGAGAUGUGGAGGAACACCAGUGGCGAAAGGCGACUUUCUGGGCCUGUAACUGACGCUGAGCGCGAAAGCGUGGGGAGCAAACAGGAUUAGAUACCCUGGUAGUCCAACGCCGUAAACGAUGCAUGCUAAGUGUUAGGGUUUCGAUACCCUUGGUGCCGAAGUUAACACAAGUAAGCAUGCCGCCUGGGGAGUACGCUCGCAGAAGUGAAACUCAAGGAAUUGACCGGACCCGCACAAGCAUGGGAGAUAUGUGGGUUAAUUCGAAGCAACCGCGAGAACUUACAGGCCUUGACAUCCUCUGGACCGGCUAAGAAAGGCUUUCUUCAGACAAGUGACAGUGGUGCCAUGUGUGCUCAGCUCUGUCCUGGAAGUGUAAUCGACAGGCUACUUGACUACUGCCAGUGAGCUGGCACUAAUGAUCGCGGUGCAAUCG